UACGAGGGGGGCAAGCGUUGUUCGGAUUUACUGGGCGUAAAGCGCGUGUAGGCGGGCUGGAAAGUUGGGGGUGAAAUCCCGAGGCUCAACCUCGGAACUGCCUCCAAAACUUCCAGCCUGGACUCAAGCAGAGGCAAGUGGAAUUGCGAGUGUAGAGGUGAAAUUCGUAGAUAUUCGCAGGAACACCAGUGGCGAAGGCGACUUGCUGGGCUUGUGGUGACGCUGAGACGCGAAAGCGUGGGGAGCAAACAGG
RNAcentral lists this ribosomal RNA (253 nucleotides) under uncultured bacterium. Its description in RNAcentral is "partial 16S ribosomal RNA". It matches the Rfam family "Bacterial small subunit ribosomal RNA", at positions 524 to 776 of the family's 1533-position model. The record is from RNAcentral.